RNAcentral lists this ribosomal RNA (391 nucleotides) under Streptococcus sp. Its description in RNAcentral is "bacterial SSU rRNA". It matches the Rfam family "Bacterial small subunit ribosomal RNA", at positions 388 to 774 of the family's 1533-position model. Lineage: Bacteria; Bacillati; Bacillota; Bacilli; Lactobacillales; Streptococcaceae. The record is from RNAcentral.
CGAGCACGCCGCGUGAGUGAGAGGUUUUCGGAUCGUAAAGCUCUGUUGUAAGUCAAGAACGAGUGUGAGAGUGGAAAGUUCACACUGUGACGGUAGCUUACCAGAAAGGGACGGCUAACUACGUGCCAGCAGCCGCGGUAAUACGUAGGUCCCGAGCGUUGUCCGGAUUUAUUGGGCGUAAAGCGAGCGCAGGCGGUUUGAUAAGUCUGAAGUUAAAGGCUGUGGCUCAACCAUAGUUCGCUUUGGAAACUGUCAAACUUGAGUGCAGAAGGGGAGAGUGGAAUUCCAUGUGUAGCGGUGAAAUGCGUAGAUAUAUGGAGGAACACCGGUGGCGAAAGCGGCUCUCUGGUCUGUAACUGACGCUGAGGCUCGAAAGCGUGGGGAGCGAACA